RNAcentral lists this ribosomal RNA (503 nucleotides) under candidate division GN15 bacterium. RNAcentral describes it as "bacterial SSU rRNA". It matches the Rfam family "Bacterial small subunit ribosomal RNA", at positions 1 to 488 of the family's 1533-position model. The record is from RNAcentral.
ACGGAGAGUUUGAUCCUGGCUCAGAACGAACGCUGGCGGCGUGCUUAAUACAUGCAAGUCGAACGAGAAAGCCCGGCUUCGGUUGGGCGAGUAAAGUGGCGAACGGGUGAGUAACACGUGGGCAAUCUGCCCUCGAGUCUGGGAUAAUCCCUCGAAAGGGGGUCUAAUACCGGAUAACACCAUCUAUGGGCAUCCUGUGAUGGUCAAAGGCGGGGAAACCUGCCACUUGGGGAUGAGCCCGCGCCCCAUUAGCUUGUUGGUAGGGUAAUGGCCUACCAAGGCGAUGAUGGGUAGCCGGCCUGAGAGGGCGACCGGCCACACUGGGACUGAGAUACGGCCCAGACUCCUACGGGAGGCAGCAGUAGGGAAUAUUGCGCAAUGGACGAAAGUCUGACGCAGCAACGCCGCGUGGGUGAUGAAGCUUCUUGGAGUGUAAAACCCUGUCAGUGGGGAAGAAACGUACGGGGAGUCACUACCCUGUGCCUGACGGUACCCACAGAGGA